Molecule: ribosomal RNA, 253 nt
Filed under: uncultured bacterium
Lineage: Bacteria
Description: partial 16S ribosomal RNA
Rfam family: Bacterial small subunit ribosomal RNA
Source: RNAcentral
UACGUAGGGUCCGAGCGUUGUCCGGAAUUACUGGGCGUAAAGAGCUCGUAGGUGGUUUGUCGCGUUGUUCGUGAAAACUCACAGCUCAACUGUGGGCGUGCGGGCGAUACGGGCAGACUGGAGUACUGCAGGGGAGACUGGAAUUCCUGGUGUAGCGGUGGAAUGCGCAGAUAUCAGGAGGAACACCGGUGUCGAAGGCGGGUCUCUGGGCAGUAACUGACGCUGAGGAGCGAAAGCGUGGGGAGCGAACAGG